Long non-coding RNA from Ruditapes philippinarum (Manila clam), 455 nucleotides. RefSeq lists it as uncharacterized. The record is from RefSeq and is a predicted model, not a curated record. The transcript has 2 exons. Lineage: Eukaryota; Metazoa; Mollusca; Bivalvia; Venerida; Veneridae.
UACAGAGUUCCAAAAGAUAGCCAUGGCCACUGCAAUAGGGUUUGCCAUCAUGGGCUUUAUUGGAUUCUUCGUUAAAUUGAUCCAUAUACCAAUCAACAACAUAAUUGUUGGGUCAUGAUUGUGUCAGCCGAGUGUGUUUCGUCUCCAUAGUCAUCAUAUUUCAUCAAACUUUUCCAUACUCUCAUUCAAAAUACCACUUGAAACAUGGAUUCUGCAUAAAAAAAUAACUGGUUUUAUAACAGCUAUGUGCCACAACACUUCCACAUACAUCAUGUUUUUUUUUGUUAAUUUAAAAAAAAAGUUAUUGAAAGAAACAAAGUUCUUAAGAUGUAAACGAAUGUUAAGAUAUUCAGGAAGAAAGAAGUAUUCAGUACUUGUUUUUUUUAUUAUUUUAUUUAGAAAACUGUAUAUUUAUUGUAAAUUUGUGUUCUAAAAAUAAAAGUUUUAUCAGACAA